CCGCCCUACCUCUGCAGCAGUGUAGGAAAGUGGUUAAACCUCACGCUAGGUGGUAUAAAGCAUAAUUUUGGAGGGGAAGUUAACCUUUUACCGCUUGUUUUUGUCCAGGCGAAGAAGCCAAAGCUUGUUUGAAAGAAACAAAGUCUGCACGUAGAUUCCCAGAUCUAUUUUACUGUAAUACAUCUCCACCAUUAACUGUGUAUCAGGCAAUGAGCUUCAUAGCUCCUGGCUACCCGUGCAGAUGCCUCAGGAGGUGCCCUUUAUUGAGGGAUAGAGGGGAAAAAAACUCCUCUUGCUGAUAAGCACGCCCACACGCAGGUAGUCCUCUUGAGACCACACCUAUGUGCAAACAAUGGCCUGGUCUGCAGAAGGUCAAUGAGAGGAAUUCUGGCCAGGAUGCUGGGGAUUCGAUGACCUGACACCAGCAAACACAGGGAUGCACGGGGUGAAAGACGUAAAUUAUGCAUGACCGGACAGACUAUUUCUUUGUUGUUUGUUUACUUUCAUACACAUGAGAAAACAAGAUUUAUAAUGAAGGGACAGUGAAACUGCAAAGUCAAACAUAUGGCAAAAAAAAAAAAGAGGAAACGCCUCAGAUUGCCUCAGGAGUUUGCCGGCUCUGUGACUUCCCCCUACAUUUCACAAGUCAAUAUUUGCCGCGUGUAUUGGCUACAGUAAAUACUGCAGAGUGCUGCUUCUAGAGAAGACUGGGAAUAGAGUUCUCAACCAGCUGUGCUGAAUGCGUCUCCGUAAUGUCAAAAAAUUGGGAGGGGGGCAGGGAGAUGGUAAUAAAGUUUUCUGCAGAGAUGCCUCAAAUCCUCCUUUUUUUUUCAUACCCUUAAUUUGUUCCCUGAGGUGCUGUGAGUGAUUUUCUCAGUUCUUUCUCUUAUAUCAAACAUCGCAGACUAUUAGCUCUCAAUAAUCAUUUGCUGCAACCCAGGACACAAUGAUUUCCCGUGACACAUAAAACUGCAAUAACGUCAGCUUGGUUUCAGAAAUAAUAUUGCUUCAUUUUUUUAUGUCCUUUUCCCCAGCAGGAAAAAAAAAUACCUCCGACUGAGUCACUCGCCUACAUAGGAGGAGAAAAGGACUGUAAAUACUGUAGGUUUCAGAAGGUGAAAUGAUGUAUUUUUGUGUGAGUUUCUGCAAUAAUAUGUGUGGUUCGAAGAAAAAAAAAGAAAAAAA
This is a long non-coding RNA of Oryzias melastigma (Indian medaka), 1185 nucleotides long. RefSeq lists it as uncharacterized. The transcript is spliced from 2 exons. The record is from RefSeq and is a predicted model, not a curated record. Lineage: Eukaryota; Metazoa; Chordata; Actinopteri; Beloniformes; Adrianichthyidae.